CCUACGGGUGGCAGCAGUGAGGAAUAUUGGUCAAUGGGCGCGAGCCUGAACCAGCCAAGUAGCGUGAAGGAUGACUGCCCUACGGGUUGUAAACUUCUUUUAUAAAGGAGUAAAGUGAGGCACGUGUGCCUUUUUGUAUGUACGUUAUGAAUAAGGAUCGCCUAACUCCGUGCCAGCAGCCGCGGUAAUACGGAGGAUCCGAGCGUUAUCCGGAUUUGUUGGGUUUAAAGGGAGCGUAGAUGGGUUGUUAAGUCAGUUGUGAAAGUUUGCGGCUCAACCGUAAAAUUGCAUUGGAUACUGGCAGCCUUGAGUACAGUAGAGGGAGGCGGAAUUCGAGGUGUAGCGGUGAAAUGCGUAGAUAUCACGAAGAACACCGAUGGCGAAGGCAGCCCACUAAACUGCCACUGACAUUGAUGUUCGAAAGUGUGGGUAGCAAACAGGAUUAGAUACCCCUGUAGUC
RNAcentral lists this ribosomal RNA (460 nucleotides) under uncultured bacterium. RNAcentral's name for it is "partial 16S ribosomal RNA". It matches the Rfam family "Bacterial small subunit ribosomal RNA", at positions 338 to 795 of the family's 1533-position model. The record is from RNAcentral.